UACGUAGGGUGCAAGCGUUGUCCGGAAUUAUUGGGCGUAAAGAGCUCGUAGGCGGUUUGUCGCGUCUGCUGUGAAAACUCGGGGCUUAACUCCGGGCCUGCAGUGGGUACGGGGAGACUAGAGUGCGGUAGGGGAGACUGGAAUUCUCGGUGUAGCGGUGAAAUGCGUAGAUAUCGGGAGGAACACCUGCGGCGAAGGCGGGUUGCUGGGCCGACACUGACGCUGAUGCGCGAAAGCCAGGGGAGCGAACGGG
Molecule: ribosomal RNA, 253 nt
Filed under: uncultured bacterium
Lineage: Bacteria
Description: partial 16S ribosomal RNA
Rfam family: Bacterial small subunit ribosomal RNA
Source: RNAcentral